AUUGAACGCUGGCGGCAGGCCUAACACAUGCAAGUCGAACGAGUGGCGGACGGGUGAGUAAUGUCUGGGAACCUGCCCGAUGGCGGGGGAUAACUACUGGAAACGGUAGCUAAUACCGCAUACCAUCGGAUGUGCCCAGAUGGGAUUAGCUAGUUGGUGGGGUAAAGGCUCACCUAGGCGACGAUCCCGAGCUGGUCUGAGAGGAUGACCAGCCAAACUGGAACUGAGACACGGCCCAGACUCCUACGGGAGGCAGCAGUGGGGAAUAUUGGACAAUGGGCGCAAGCCUGAUGCAGCCAUGCCGCGUGUAUGAAGAAGGCCUUCGGGUUGUAAAGUACUUUCAGCGGGGAAGCGUUACCCGCAGAAGAAGCACCGGCUAACUCCGUGCCAGCAGCCGCGGUAAUAC
Molecule: ribosomal RNA, 406 nt
Filed under: uncultured bacterium
Lineage: Bacteria
Description: partial 16S ribosomal RNA
Rfam family: Bacterial small subunit ribosomal RNA
Source: RNAcentral